Molecule: long non-coding RNA, 475 nt
Organism: Gigantopelta aegis
Lineage: Eukaryota; Metazoa; Mollusca; Gastropoda; Neomphalida; Peltospiridae
Exons: 4
Source: RefSeq, a predicted model, not a curated record
UGUAAAUUCUUCUACAUUUAAUAAGGUCUCACUACACAGAUCACUUCCGUGUGAGAGUUCAUUGAUCACGUCCACUAUAGUUCCUAAUUGUGGCACAUGUUAUGGUUCAUAUAUUCACUUCUAGGAAAUUGUGAAGAAUUAAAACAAAAUUACCGCUGAUGACAGUGUCUGGAUCAACAAGAGAGACAGGUGCGGUGCGUGUGCAGACGACAACGCGCUUGAACGAUUAUUGGACAUAAGCGCAAAAAUCAAGAAGACAUAAGAAAUACACAUUCAUGGUGAAUUAUAUUUUGGUAUUCUGAAAACUGUUUAAUGUAUGUCAACUAUGGACUCGAUGGCUGUAGGCUGUGCUCACGACAGAUGUCACCGGCUUGGCAGGAUAUGAUCACCUUUCACGAACACAUGACAUCAUCACUGUUUUUAACAGUGAUCCACGAGUUCCUGCUUCACUGAUUAAUAUAUUCCAUUAAGCUCU